UAUAAAGUUUUCUAGGGUUCCGCAGCCGUUUCGGCUGGCUGGUCCGAGGGAAAACGCGUUGCCAUAAUGCAGCGCCUUGCACGGAGGGACAAAAGCCCGGGAGAU
This 105-nucleotide small RNA is filed under the name Paenibacillus swuensis. RNAcentral describes it as "Guanidine-I sequence". It matches the Rfam family "Guanidine-I riboswitch aptamer". Rfam says of the family: This family represents a conserved RNA structure found upstream of the ykkC and yxkD genes in Bacillus subtilis and related genes in other bacteria. The function of this family is unclear although it has been suggested that it may function to switch on efflux pumps and detoxification systems in response to harmful environmental molecules. Nelson showed that this riboswitch senses and responds to guanidine and it was renamed Guanidine-I riboswitch. The record is from Rfam by way of RNAcentral. Lineage: Bacteria; Bacillati; Bacillota; Bacilli; Caryophanales; Paenibacillaceae.